AGUGACCCCCUCUUAUUAGUGGUCUGGUCUUCUUUAGCCGAGUGACCUGAAACGUCACGUUCCGUCCUGCAGGGCACAGCGCAAGGCGAUGGUGCAGUUUUGUUGACGUCUGUAUGUCGUAACGUAAAGCACAGUUGAAAACUAAUAGGGGGAUACACUAGCACCAAACAUGGCUCUGUUGACAAGAGGAGUAGCCAGAAUCAUCACGUCAGGGCAGGUGACUAAACUCCUGUCCACCACAAGCAUGAAGUCCCUUAGCUGUGGAAGAGCCCUGUCAUUCAAUGUGUCCCGGAUGGCAUCCUCCAUGAGAUGUACUGGGAGGAAGGCUGAGGUGUCCCCACCCUCGCACAGGUGGUUCUCUACACCAGCUGCUGAAAGUGUCAGGACUGCCUCAGCUAUUGAAAAGGUACGGCUGGAUUCAGAUGGGGUAGUAGAAGUGGAAUGGUCCAGUGGAGGGGUGAGCAGCUUCCCCUAUGUGUGGCUGAGAGACAACUGUCAGUGUCCAGAUUGUCACAGUGCCAUGACUGGUUUCCGCCGUGUGAUGAUCAAGGAUAUCGACCCGUCUAUUGCACCGGUCACAGCAGAAGUUGUGGAUGGCAAAAGCAUCCAGCUUGAGUGGCCGGACGGACACAGGAGUGAGUUUGACUGGCAGUGGCUGCAGGACAGGAGCUUUACCCAGGAGGCACGGGACCAGAGGAGGGAGGCCAAACGCAGAAAGCUGCAGCUGUGGGGCUCAGAACAGUUGGAAAAGCUGCAGCCUGUGGAGUUUGAUGCUCUGAUGACGGAUGAGAUGGCCCUGUACGACUUCUUCAACACCAUCGACACUGUGGGCCUGGCACUCACAAGAAACGUUCCCUGUAAGGUUGGGCAGCAACAGAGGCUGGCAGAAAGGAUUGCCUAUCUGCGACCUACUCAUUAUGGUCUGCAUGAAAGCUCCGUCUACUCCAAACCAAACACCAGUAACCUGGCAUUUACAGGCCAGCGUCUCCACUGCCACACAGACAUGCCGCAGUACUCAUCACCAGCAGGGAUUUUGCUGCUUCACUGUGUCCAGGAGGCUGAAGAGGGAGGAGAAAAUGAGCUGAUUGAUGGGUACCAUGCUGCCUAUCAGCUGAAGGAAAAAGAUCCUGAAGCCUUCCACGCUUUGACAACCACCCCAGUCUCUUUUGCCAUGCACGGCAAAGAUUACAUUCGCUAUGAUUUGGAGAAAACACGUCCUAUUAUCAGUUUGAACUCUGAAGGAGAGGUAGUUCGUAUUUGCUAUGCCAACCAGCUGCGCUCUGCUCUCAUGGACGUCCCAGUGGAGCGGGUGCAGCCAUUCUACAGGGCCAUGAGGGCGUGGGACGACGUUCUAUACCACCCAGACAACUGUAUCCUCACCAAACUCAACGCUGGUGAGAUGGUGGUGUUUGACAACUGGCGCCUAGUGCACGGCCGGCGCGGCUUCCAGGGCGGACGCCAUGUCCAGACGGCGUACAUGGACUGGGACGAGGUUCGCUCCUUCCUGGGCGUGGUCAGGAGAGAGCGGAACCUCAACAAUUGAUGGCUGCCUGACUGUGACUUGUCCUGGUGUAGGAUGGAGGGUUUUUACAGUAAUCCCCUCUCCUGUGUGUGUACCAUAGAUUUACAAUAAUUCUUUCAUUUUGGCUUGGGAUGUUCAAAUUCCACAUGGCAAGUUUUGUCCCAAAUUGUCUUAAUGACUAUUUCAGCUUUAACUGCAAAAAUGGUUUGAACUUAAGUUGAAUCAAAUACAAAAUGUAGAAGAUUGCACUUUUAGGCUGAUCACAACCUUCAUAAUAUAGGCAGUGCUAAUUCUUAACGAUUAUCUUUUAAAACUGUGCACAAGUGAACUGUAGAUCUGGUAAAGCAUGAAUGAAUGAAAGUAUGAAUGGACACCUAUAUGCCAAAGGACAGGCAAGACAUUUUUCUGGGGUUUUCUCAGAUUGUAUUGCCCAACUACUUAAGUCUGAAAUCCAGCUCCAAAAAAAGCAUGUGUAGUCAGUGAAAAUGAAAUUGAGUACUUAACCUCCAUAAAGGUAGCCUUGCACUAUAGAAAUCACCUGCUGCUUCUGUUAACAGGGACAGGAAAGAAUGGUAAUGAUUAUGACUUACAACUACAACUAGUGUGACAAUGCACUGGUCUAUGGUGUUCAUACGAUGUUCCAUUUCACAGCAUCGCACACAAAUAUGAGCCAGAGAGAUGAGGAAAGUCUGAUUUUUAUUGGAGCUUUCUACGAGUGAGCCAUAUCUUGAUUACAGUCAGGCAUCAACUGCCUGUUAACCUAACUUUUGUUGUCUGUAACUGGUCAAAACUGUUGUUUCUCCCUCAGAGUGUUUGGGAAAACAUUUCAAAGUACAUUAUUGUCAUAUAUAAGUCGCCGUGUACAAUGGAGCUUACGUCAAUGGUGAUUUGCUUUAACCUAGCUGUGUAUCAGAUGACAUCAUAUUGUCUUGUACAUGUAAUUGUAGGCCAAAUUAAUAAUUGAGAAUGAAUAUUGCAGAAACAGAAGCCCAUAUUGGGUUUGAUGAAAUUUAGGCAUCACUAGUUGGUGUCUCACCUUGUGACUACACUGGCAUCACUUUGCAAUUCUUGUGCGUGUAACGUUAUCUGCAUCAGCAUUCUAACUGGUAUUGAAGGAGAGGUGUGAUUUUAAGUGGUUUGUCUUUAACAUGCCAAAGCACUGAUAAGGAUACUGUUUGCCAUUAGAAAGUAAGUUUUUUCUGUGAAAGUGUUUGAAUUGGAAGUGAUUUGAAACUGGGUAAGUGACAUUUGCCAUCAACUGCAGCAUGUUUGCCACAGUUCUGGACCAGCUGUGUUUGUAUCAUGCACUGCAGUGGGCAUUCUAUAGGGGGCGCUGUUACAAGUCUCCUGCAGACAAGGAGAUGUUCAGUAGCCAUUUGUGUUUGUUCAACACUUUAAUACCAUCUCAUUUGUAAAAAUGAUCUAUUGAACAAGUUAUAAUCCUGUCAAACCUGUACAGGUGACCAUUUCAACAUGAGGACCACCUGGCCAAUAGACCAGAUUGAAUGAAUGAAUGAACUUUAUUGCACGACAUUUGUACAUGGUACAAUUGUAAGGCAACAGUAAUAAGUCAAUUAAUACAAUGAUACUCGUCUAAGGUCUAUAACUACAUACAUGUAUAGUACAGGAAUGUGAACAUGAAUGGCGUAUUGAUAUAGUGUAAUAUGCAAGUUAAACAUUUUAUUGGUCCACUUGUGGUCUUCUUGGGCAGUUUGUAGCUUGAUCCCUUUAUGUCAAGUAACUUUCCCUAGCUUGAUUUUAUUCCAGUCAACUAGAAAAAAAGGUAGGUUUAAAAGUUAUGAGAUUUUAUUCCAUUCUACCAGAAAAGGACUCCAGAAAAGGACAACCAGAAAAGUCAAUAUGUUUACCUUCUGGGCACGUUAAAUAAAGAUUCUAGGCAGUGUUCCAGGUAUAUAUAGCCCCAAACCUGCUUCAGGUUUACAUAACCCCAUGUAGACAAUGUUGUAUACAACCAGGCACAUUGGUAUCAGAUGUAAACAUACUUUGAGGUUAGCAGAAAAUUACCACUUAUAUUGCCCUCACAUUACACAUGAUUUGUGUCAAAAGUUAUGCAUAGGAGGUAAUGUUAGUCUCCCUUCCAUACUGUGUAAGUACAGACUACAGACCUUCCUCAGGAAUACAGCAAAAGAUGUGCUCAUGGUAGCCUUUUGAAAGGGUGUGGUGUAGCCUCCUUAGCAGGCUUACGAGAGUUACCUUUUUUUCUCUCUUAUUAUCAUCAUGCUGAAUUAUGUAAAGAUCACAUAUGAAAUGAGAAAUAAAUUAUUACCUGUCCCUUGUGAA
Branchiostoma floridae (Florida lancelet) is the source of this 3823-nucleotide RNA transcript. It is a transcript of the gene named gamma-butyrobetaine dioxygenase-like, with no coding region annotated. Lineage: Eukaryota; Metazoa; Chordata; Leptocardii; Amphioxiformes; Branchiostomatidae. The record is from RefSeq and is a predicted model, not a curated record. The transcript has 11 exons.